This 392-nucleotide ribosomal RNA is filed under the name uncultured bacterium. Its description in RNAcentral is "partial 16S ribosomal RNA". It matches the Rfam family "Bacterial small subunit ribosomal RNA", at positions 523 to 918 of the family's 1533-position model. The record is from RNAcentral.
AUACGGAGGAUCCGAGCGUUAUCCGGAUUUAUUGGGUUUAAAGGGUGCGCAGGCGGCCAUUUAAGUCAGCGGUUAAAUCGUGGGGCUCAACCCCAUUCUGCCGUUGAUACUGGGUGGCUUGAUUGCGGUCGAGGUUGGCGGAAUUCGUUGUGUAGCGGUGAAAUGCAUAGAUAUGACGAAGAACACCGAUUGCGUAGGCAGCUGACCAGACCGCAAAUGACGCUCAUGCACGAAAGUGCGGGGAUCGAACAGGAUUAGAUACCCUGGUAAUCCGCACAGUAAACGAUGAAUACUUGUUUUCGGCGAUAUAAUGUCGGAGGCAAAGCGAAAGCGAUAAGUAUUCCACCUGGGGAGUACGCCGGCAACGGUGAAACUCAAAUGAAUUGACGGGG